CUCUAUUCCAUCUCAAUUUACUGGACUAAACACUGGGCCCAGCUAAAAAUAAUCUUGAUCCUUGCAGGCUGGGGGCCAAGCUACGUUUGGCAGAACAGCACACGGAGUGGAAUGGGAUGGGGGCUCACAGCCUAGCAGGGACGGCUCCCAGCAGGCUGUUUAGGCCACUCCUGUGGUCAUCGACUCAGCCAUUUCCCCACAGCAGGCCUCCAGCAGAGCGCCGGGCCUCAGUCCAUUGGGAAGUGGAGGUGAGGGACAGGGAGUGAAGUCCACCGGCAGCAGGAUGGACACAAAGGAACCCAGAGAUGCUAAACCCUGGCUAGGACUUCCACCUCUGCCGGACCAAGAAGUCUGCUGGUCAUACGAGAAGGAGCAAUUGGCUGGAGAGGACCGGCUGGGAGCCGGCAGUGUGGGAGAGCUGUGCCCAGGGAGAAAGCUCUUACCUGUCCUCAUCCACUGCUGA
Molecule: long non-coding RNA, 463 nt
Filed under: Cavia porcellus (domestic guinea pig)
Lineage: Eukaryota; Metazoa; Chordata; Mammalia; Rodentia; Caviidae
Description: lncRNA (ENSCPOG00000035303.1)
Source: RNAcentral